CUCAAUUAAACCAUGUUUUCUGUAGCUCUGUUCCUGCUGUUGGCAGGUGGAUCAUGUGUACAGUGUGAGCAGUUGACACAGAAAGCCUCUGAGACUGUACAGCCAGGUCAACGUCUGACCAUCACCUGUCAGGUUUCCUAUUCUGUGACCAGCCGCUGGACAGCUUGGAUAAGACAGCCUGCAGGGAAAGGCCUGGAGUGGAUUGGAAGUAGAGUUGGUGCAAGUUUAGCUUAUAAAGAUUCACUAAAAAACAAGUUCAGUAUCAGCUUAGACUCUUCCAGCAACACCGUGACUCUGACUGGACAGAAUAUGCAGCCUGAAGACACAGCAGUGUAUUACUGUGCCAGAGACCCACAAUAA
This is a non-coding RNA of Neolamprologus brichardi, 360 nucleotides long. Lineage: Eukaryota; Metazoa; Chordata; Actinopteri; Cichliformes; Cichlidae. The record is from the annotation of a RefSeq genome assembly.